GUAACCUGCCUGUAAGACUGGGAUAACUCCGGGAAACCGGAGCUAAUACCGGAUAGUUCCUUGAACCGCAUGGUUCAAGGAUGAAAGACGGUUUCGGCUGUCACUUACAGAUGGACCCGCGGCGCAUUAGCUAGUUGGUGGGGUAAUGGCUCACCAAGGCGACGAUGCGUAGCCGACCUGAGAGGGUGAUCGGCCACACUGGGACUGAGACACGGCCCAGACUCCUACGGGAGGCAGCAGUAGGGAAUCUUCCGCAAUGGACGAAAGUCUGACGGAGCAACGCCGCGUGAGUGAUGAAGGUUUUCGGAUCGUAAAGCUCUGUUGUUAGGGAAGAACAAGUGCGAGAGUAACUGCUCGCACCUUGACGGUACCUAACCAGAAAGCCACGGCUAACUACGUGCCAGCAGCCGCGGUAAUACGUAGGUGGCAAGCGUUGUCCGGAAUUAUUGGGCGUAAAGGGCUCGCAGGCGGUUUCUUAAGUCUGAUGUGAAAGCCCCCGGCUCAACCGGGGAGGGUCAUUGGAAACUGGGAAACUUGAGUGCAGAAGAGGAGAGUGGAAUUCCACGUGUAGCGGUGAAAUGCGUAGAGAUGUGGAGGAACACCAGUGGCGAAGGCGACUCUCUGGUCUGUAACUGACGCUGAGGAGCGAAAGCGUGGGGAGCGAACAGGAUUAGAUACCCUGGUAGUCCACGCCGUAAACGAUGAGUGCUAAGUGUUAGGGGGUUUCCGCCCCUUAGUGCUGCAGCUAACGCAUUAAGCACUCCGCCUGGGGAGUACGGUCGCAAGACUGAAACUCAAAGG
Molecule: ribosomal RNA, 801 nt
Filed under: Bacillus sp. (in: firmicutes)
Lineage: Bacteria; Bacillati; Bacillota; Bacilli; Caryophanales; Bacillaceae
Description: bacterial SSU rRNA
Rfam family: Bacterial small subunit ribosomal RNA
Source: RNAcentral